This 384-nucleotide ribosomal RNA is filed under the name uncultured Desulfuromonas sp. RNAcentral's name for it is "bacterial SSU rRNA". It matches the Rfam family "Bacterial small subunit ribosomal RNA", at positions 1000 to 1382 of the family's 1533-position model. Lineage: Bacteria; Pseudomonadati; Thermodesulfobacteriota; Desulfuromonadia; Desulfuromonadales; Desulfuromonadaceae. The record is from RNAcentral.
AUGGAAACAUGGGAGUCAGUUCGGCUGGAUCGGUGACAGGUGCUGCAUGGCUGUCGUCAGCUCGUGUCGUGAGAUGUUGGGUUAAGUCCCGCGAACGAGCGCAACCCUUGUCCUUAGUUGCCAGCAUUCAGUUGGGCACUCUAAGGAGACUGCCGGUGUUAAACCGGAGGAAGGUGGGGAUGACGUCAAGUCCUCAUGGCCCUUAUGUCCAGGGCUACACACGUGCUACAAUGGCCGGUACAAAGGGCUGCAAGACCGUGAGGUUGAGCGAAUCCCAGAAAGCCGGUCUCAGUUCGGAUUGGAGUCUGCAACUCGACUCCAUGAAGUUGGAAUCGCUAGUAAUCGCGGAAUCAGCAUGCCGCGGUGAAUACGUUCCCGGGCCUU